Molecule: long non-coding RNA, 1299 nt
Organism: Gallus gallus (chicken)
Lineage: Eukaryota; Metazoa; Chordata; Aves; Galliformes; Phasianidae
Exons: 2
Source: RefSeq, a predicted model, not a curated record
ACGUGACCGGAACGGCACACCCGAGCGCAUCAAAGCGCUUCAGCGUCCUCCCCACAAUCCCCUUUGCUUCGCACGGCGGGCAGGAAUUCCCCCGGCAUCAACGCAACGCGGCCGGUAAGGCGCUCUGCCCCGCGGACCGCGGUGCGCGCAGCGCUGUGCGUGCGGCGGCCGGAGGUGGAGCGGCGCCGCCCCGCCGUGACCCCGCAGCGCACCGCACCGCCUUCCGCAGAGCCACCGCUGCCCUCCGCCGACGCCAUCCAAACGACGGCAAUCGGUCGGUCGGUCGGUCGUCCGUGUCGUUCCACUGCAGCACGUGGAUGCUUCCAGCUCUCAGCCAUCCCGUCUUUCUACCCUUGGCAGUGCCCGUGCGCUACCCGCGCGGUGAUUUCCAUCCCAUUCCCACCAGCCCGGCGCCACUUCAUGGCCACGAUGGCAGCGCUUUAUUUCUGCGGGCGGGCAUGGCUGAAACUGGAGAGAAAAGUGGUAGCAGAGCCAAAGGACCUCACCUUUUAUCUCUCUGGGGACGGCACUGACUGACUGCCAGGAUUUACGACUCUCCUGCAUCUUGUACAAUGACUAAGCCUUCUAUUGCUCCUAGAUAAACAAAGAGAAGGCAGAGAGAAGUCUGCACAGCUUCUGAAGAGCACCCACAGCUCCUGCUGCAAAGAGCUGGGCGGAAAGCCAGCACUCUGGUUUCCCACCCUUCCUUCCCUUGUCCUUGAGUCAAGAGACGAUCCCCCAAAGACCCAGGAGGGUCUGGUGGGAAAGAGGAUACAGCGUGUGGAGGUUGGAGGCUGGAGCAGGGCUGUGUUUACUCUCCCAAAUCUUCAGCUAAAGAGGGCAAGUCAUGUUUCUUGGAGUGCUAAGAGUACUUGCAGUCCUUAGAGGAAACAUGCAUGACUAUUCUCUGGUCUGCGAGAUCAUUCUCUGGUAGUUGUCUCCCAUUGCUAUCACAAGACUGGAAUUUGGACUGGAUGACCUUUGUAGGUCUUUUCCAACCUUGGUGAUUCUAUGAUUCCAAGUCACACUGAUGUUUCAGAUACAAUGAAUUAAUUCUGAUCCAUAAAGCAGAGUGUUGGAACCUCAUGAGAGAACAUCACAAGUUGUAAAAUGCAUUUUCCUUUCUGGGAACCUCAACAUUCUGCUCACGUUUUCAUCUCUGCUACUUAGUUCAGCAGGAAAUAUCAGAAAGACACAGCCAGUUGUUCAGAAAAAUGCAGUGAUUGCAAAGAGAUGGUUCAUUCUGCACUCCGUGUCCUCUUGGUAGGUCUUCAAAUAGGAAAUUUGUACUCCCUUCAA